Molecule: unclassified non-coding RNA, 358 nt
Filed under: soil metagenome
Description: partial contains 5.8S ribosomal RNA, internal transcribed spacer 2, and large subunit ribosomal RNA
Rfam family: 5.8S ribosomal RNA (bases 1-120)
Source: RNAcentral
GAUGAAGAACGCAGCGAAAUGCGAUAAGUAAUGUGAAUUGCAGAAUUCAGUGAAUCAUCGAAUCUUUGAACGCACAUUGCGCCCGUCAGUAUUCUGGCGGGCAUGCCUGUUCGAGCGUCAUUACGCUCCUCAAGUCCCCUGUGGACUUGGUGUUGGGGAUCGGCGAGGCUGGUUUUCCAGCACAGCCGUCCCUUAAAUUAAUUGGCGGUCUCGCCGUGGCCCUCCUCUGCGCAGUAGUAAAACACUCGCAACAGGAGCCCGGCGCGGUCCACUGCCGUAAAACCCCCCAACUUUUUAUAGUUGACCUCGAAUCAGGUAGGACUACCCGCUGAACUUAAGCAUAUCAAUAAGCGGAGGA